Molecule: transfer-messenger RNA, 353 nt
Filed under: Chloroflexota bacterium
Lineage: Bacteria; Bacillati; Chloroflexota
Rfam family: transfer-messenger RNA
About the family: Bacterial tmRNA, also known as 10Sa RNA or SsrA, is named for its dual tRNA and mRNA-like properties. Its role is to liberate the mRNA from a stalled ribosome.
Source: RNAcentral
GGGGAUGUCUGGAUUCGACAGGGGUGUAGGGUACGAAACUGCAGGUCGAGGAGCCCCGGCCUCGUAAAAAAGGGGCAACGCCAUAACUGGCACACAACAUCAACUUCUAGCCGCUUAAUUUAAGUCGGCUACGUUCGCCCGUUCCUUUCUCCGGUAGGAACGGUGCGGGCGUCGAAAAACCGGAGUGCUGUGUGAGUGCCCGUCGGGGCGCGAUCACCUAAGACUGAUCCGACUGGUCCGGUGAUUCCCCGCUGACCGGGAUACACCGGGUGAGAUCUUUAGGCCAGCUAAGCCUGUAGGAUGUUUCGGCGCGAAACUUCUGGACGGGGGUUCGACUCCCCCCAUCUCCACCA